UACGUAGGUGGCAAGCGUUGUCCGGAUUUAUUGGGUUUAAAGGGUGCGUAGGCGGUCUAUUAAGUCAGCGGUGAAAUACUCCAGCUUAACUGGAGGGGUGCCAUUGAUACUGAUGGACUUGAGUCAAGUCGAGGUAGGCGGAAUUGACGGUGUAGCGGUGAAAUGCUUAGAUAUCAGGAGGAAUACCGGUGGCGAAGGCGGCCUUCUGGACGGUGACUGACGCUGAGACGCGAAAGCGUGGGGAGCAAACAGG
Molecule: ribosomal RNA, 253 nt
Filed under: uncultured bacterium
Lineage: Bacteria
Description: partial 16S ribosomal RNA
Rfam family: Bacterial small subunit ribosomal RNA
Source: RNAcentral